ACCAGUGUGGCAUAGUGGUUUGUGUUUUGGACUGCGAUUCUGGAGACCAGGGUUCGAUUUCCAGCUUGUC
Molecule: non-coding RNA, 70 nt
Organism: Phrynosoma platyrhinos (Desert horned lizard)
Lineage: Eukaryota; Metazoa; Chordata; Lepidosauria; Squamata; Phrynosomatidae
Source: the annotation of a GenBank genome assembly